This 466-nucleotide ribosomal RNA is filed under the name uncultured bacterium. Its description in RNAcentral is "partial 16S ribosomal RNA". It matches the Rfam family "Bacterial small subunit ribosomal RNA", at positions 28 to 507 of the family's 1533-position model. The record is from RNAcentral.
GGUGAACGCUGGCGGCGUGCUUAACACAUGCCAGUCGAACGGAAAGGCUCCUGCUUGCAGGGGUACUCGAGUGGCGAACGGGUGAGUAACACGUGGGUGAUCUGCCCUGCACUUCGGGAUAAGCCUGGGAAACUGGGUCUAAUACCGGAUAGGACGAUGGUUUGGAUGCCAUUGUGGAAAGUUUUUUCGGUGUGGGAUGAGCUCGCGGCCUAUCAGCUUGUUGGUGGGGUAAUGGCCUACCAAGGCGUCGACGGGUAGCCGGCCUGAGAGGGUGUACGGCCACAUUGGGACUGAGAUACGGCCCAGACUCCUACGGGAGGCAGCAGUGGGGAAUAUUGCACAAUGGGCGCAAGCCUGAUGCAGCGACGCCGCGUGGGGGAUGACGGCCUUCGGGUUGUAAACUCCUUUCGCUAGGGACGAAGCGCAAGUGACGGUACCUGGAGAAGAAGCACCGGCUAACUACGUG